Molecule: ribosomal RNA, 510 nt
Filed under: uncultured bacterium
Lineage: Bacteria
Description: bacterial SSU rRNA
Rfam family: Bacterial small subunit ribosomal RNA
Source: RNAcentral
UAGUCCACACCGUAAACGAUGAAUGCUAGUUGUCAGGGGGUUUUCCCUUUGGUGACGCACCUAACGGAUUAAGCAUUCCGCCUGGGGAGUACGGUCGCAAGAUUAAAACUCAAAAGGAAUUGACGGGGGCCCGCACAAGCGGUGGAGCAUGUGGUUUAAUUCGACGCAACGCGCAGAACCUUACCACUCCUUGACAUAGAUGUCGCGGAGUUUAGAGAUAGACUCCUUCAGUUCGGCUGGACAUCAUACAGGUGCUGCAUGGCUGUCGUCAGCUCGUGUCGUGAGAUGUUGGGUUAAGUCCCGCAACGAGCGCAACCCUCGCUAAUAGUUGCCAUCAUUUAGUUGGGCACUCUAUUAGAACUGCCGGUGAUAAACCGGAGGAAGGUGGGGAUGACGUCAAGUCCUCAUGGCCCUUACGGAGUGGGCUACACACGUGCUACAAUGGCAGUGACAAUGGGAUAAUCCAUAAAAACUGUACUCAGUUCGGAUUGGGGUCUGCAACUCGACCCC